This 2540-nucleotide unclassified non-coding RNA is filed under the name Hevea brasiliensis (rubber tree). Lineage: Eukaryota; Viridiplantae; Streptophyta; Magnoliopsida; Malpighiales; Euphorbiaceae. The record is from RNAcentral.
AAACUUAAAUACCAUAGAUAAAAAUUAACAAAAAUUAACAGUACAUUAUAUUAUGACUUACAAAUCACAUCCUUAUAUCACUUAAACUUUCAAAACCACCAACGACAAACAAAGGCCAGCUUACCAAAGUAUUGCCUGCAGUGCCAAUUACAUUUAUACCUUCAGUUAAUUAAAAAUAAACAAAUCUAACAACACAGAGCGAAGCAGUGCCAAUUACAAAUAACACAAUACAAUUCAAUUGCACACAAAGCCCAUUUUAAGAGGCUAAUCACAGAUAAUCUAAUAAUGCACCUCCUUAAUGACGCAAGGAUGAUCGUCUCUUCUUAGAUAUUAAUCCAAGGGCCAAAUCAAUUAAUCAAGUGGCAGUCUAGCAAUUUCAGAUGUGAGGCAGUCAAAAGUGAUCACUCAGCACCCAAUAGAAUACCCUCCAUGAUUUUCUCAUUUACCAAGAGCACGCAUCUGCAAUAGAGCCUCAGGAAGGUAGUAGCAUAUCAGGAUGAAACUCUGAGUCAUCCCUAUAUUACCUACUCAACAUCAGUCAUACACCACAUUGCCCAGGAUACUCAAAGACCAAAAUCUUGAUGGGAAUUUUAAAAUAUAAUUCUUCAUAGAGAGAGAGUCUGGAAGACAACCUAGUACAGUGAUGAGAGAUAAAUUUUGGUCAUCCUGGAAGAAAAUUCUGACUGACCUUAAACAUGGAGAUCCAGGGUUUAAACUUUCAGAGUCUCUCGACCAUCUAAAUUGCUCAAAAAGUUCAAAGAAACCGAAACGCCCAUUAUGAAAGCAACAUCUUAACCAGGCAUUCACAAGAUAAUAAAGAUUGAAUUCUACAUUGGAAGGCAUUUUAAAUGAAAUACAUAUGCAAAUGUAAAUCGCAAAUUUCAGGUGAAGUUUGUGCAAAGCAGUUGGAGAUUUUGACUCAACUGCCAUAGAAAAUCACAGAAAAGUAAAUUCGGAGAUGGAUGCUCUUCUCCUCUAGGAGAAUAAAAUACAAGAAAUACACGCUCCAAGACUACCAUCUAGUUUUCAGCCUUCUUACCAAUAUCCUCCUCAGUUGAAGCAUGUAUUUCCUCAUCUUUUUCUUCAACCUUGGGAUCUUGGACCUCUUCAGCAUUUCCUGGGCUAUCCUGAAGCCCCAAAUUCUUCAGGCUAGUAGUAACGUCUUCUUGUUGCUGCUGGAGUGUAUUCCUAAGCACUUGAAAUUCUGAUCGAAGUUGCUCCACCUCAACAUUCAAUGAUUUCUUCAGUUCUGACAACUCCUGCACAAAGAAAAAAUAUAGAAGGGACUCACUCCAACGAAACUAAGCCUCAAUACCAAAUUCCCAACUAGUGGGAUGAAAUACAUAUUAUCAGAGAUGACCAGUCCAGAGAAAUAAAGAAAUCAAUGACAUUCAUUUUUACUUGACCUAGUUUUAAUAUUAAAUAAAUCAAUGCCAAGUUUGUAAAACCACAUUGAAAGAAAAGGGAACACAAGAGCAACAGAGGGUGAAACUCUGCUUUUCAUCCCAUAAAAUAGUGCAUCCACUCCGGAUUCAAACAUUACCAAGAAAAUUGGUGCAUAUGGCAGUUUAUCUCUAGCAAUGCUGAUUGUUGCACAUCAAGCAAUUUCGUGCGUAUUGACAUAGAAAUUUUUACUGAAUAAACUAAGCUGAGAAUUCCAGCAAACUCACACACCCAGGCAAGUAUUUAAUGGUGAAACCCUUUACAUAAACUCCAUCCUGAUAUACAGGCAUGGUACCAGAAGAAAACUACUUCAGAAACUUAGAAUUAUUUUGUGCAAAAGAAAUAUUUAGGAUCCAUAGGCUAGUAAAAAAAGAACCAAGUCCGUUGAGCCAAGCCACAAAAGAAGAAGUAAAACUCUAGAUGGACCGCCGCAUGCAGCUCAAGUAACAAUUGAAUAUAAAACUUAAGUCAAGUCUAGUUGCAUUUGAGGGGAGUGUUUGAGUCCCACAUCAGAAAAUAACAAGAAAGAAAUUGGAAGUGAAUAUAUAGCAAGGAGACCCAUGUUAAAUUGGUUUAAGCCAUUUUGAUGGAAGCAACCCGAGGUGAAACAACUAACAACUAAAUCAUGGUGAUAGCCUUUAGCACUCUCUGCAUAAGAGAAAAUUUCACAAUCACUAACCAACUCAACCUAAAUAGAGUGCCUAUAUUAUCUUAUAAAGAGUUCUAGAGAUUUAACCAAGGCCAUGGUUACCCCUGAUUCCUGACUACAGAGCCUGACAAUAUUGCUUAGUUGCAAGCCACCAGGCAUUAUUAAUCCUGCCAACUUAUAAAAGUUUUCCAAUCAAUUGUCACAAAUUCUUACAAGGUCUACGCUACAUCACCAAGUUUUCAAUCUCCAAGUUCAUAUUAUUGUGAUCAAUUCAUCCUUAGUAGUUCAUGCAAGUGCAAUUCGUACCCUGCCAUCACUGACGUUAUUCUCUAAUUUCCAUCAAAAAGUAGAAGCAUCAGAAUUCAGAAUAUUCAAAACCAAAGCAUCAGAAUUCAGAAUAUUCAAAACCAAUCUACAAUAGUCAAGACAGAUACACAAGCAACACUUA